This 270-nucleotide ribosomal RNA is filed under the name uncultured archaeon. RNAcentral's name for it is "partial 16S ribosomal RNA". It matches the Rfam family "Archaeal small subunit ribosomal RNA", at positions 477 to 747 of the family's 1478-position model. The record is from RNAcentral.
CAGCACCUCAAGUGGUCAGAAUGAUUAUUGGGCCUAAAGCAUCCGUAGCCUGCUUUGUUAGUUUUCGGUUAAAUCCAUACGCUCGACGUAUGGGCUGCCGGGAAUACUGCAAAGCUAGGGAGUGGGAGAGGUAGACGGUACUCGGUAGGAAGGGGUAAAAUCCUUUGAUCUAUUGAUGACCACCUGUGGCGAAGGCGGUCUACCAGAACACGUCCGACGGUGAGGGAUGAAAGCUGGGGGAGCAAACCGGAUUAGAUACCCGAGUAGUCC